ACAGCAGCAAUAUUGCAGUUACAGUAUGAUGUACCAUCAUGGUGCAUUCAUGGCUAUUAAAACUGUGCUAUUGUAGGAUACGAUACCUACAGUACCCUUGGCCAUGCAUUACAGCAGUGGCA
Molecule: non-coding RNA, 122 nt
Organism: Caenorhabditis elegans
Lineage: Eukaryota; Metazoa; Nematoda; Chromadorea; Rhabditida; Rhabditidae
Source: Ensembl